This 1010-nucleotide ribosomal RNA is filed under the name uncultured bacterium. RNAcentral's name for it is "bacterial SSU rRNA". It matches the Rfam family "Bacterial small subunit ribosomal RNA", at positions 473 to 1482 of the family's 1533-position model. The record is from RNAcentral.
CGGUACUUGAUGAAUAAGCCACGGCUAAUUCCGUGCCAGCAGCCGCGGUAAUACGGGAGUGGCAAGCGUUAUCCGGAAUUAUUGGGCGUAAAGCGUCCGCAGGCGGCCCAACAAGUCUGCUGUUAAAAAGUGGAGCUUAACUCCAUCAUGGCAGUGGAAACUGUUGGGCUCGAGUGUGGUAGGGGCAGAGGGAAUUCCCGGUGUAGCGGUGAAAUGCGUAGAUAUCGGGAAGAACACCAGUGGCGAAGGCGCUCUGCUGGGCCAUCACUGACGCUCAUGGACGAAAGCCAGGGGAGCGAAAGGGAUUAGAUACCCCUGUAGUCCUGGCCGUAAACGAUGAACACUAGGUGUCGGGGGAAUCGACCCCUCCGGUGUCGUAGCCAACGCGUUAAGUGUUCCGCCUGGGGAGUACGCACGCAAGUGUGAAACUCAAAGGAAUUGACGGGGGCCCGCACAAGCGGUGGAGUAUGUGGUUUAAUUCGAUGCAACGCGAAGAACCUUACCAGGGUUUGACAUCCUGCGAAUCUCUUGGAAACUUGAGAGUGCCUUCGGGAGCGCAGUGACAGGUGGUGCAUGGCUGUCGUCAGCUCGUGUCGUGAGAUGCUGGGUUAAGUCCCGCAACGAGCGCAACCCACGUCUUUAGUUGCCAGCAUUUAGUUGGGCACUCUAGAGAGACCGCCGGUGAUAAACCGGAGGAAGGUGUGGAUGACGUCAAGUCAUCAUGCCCCUUACAUCCUGGGCUACACACGUACUACAAUGCUACGGACAAAGGGCAGCAAGUUCGCGAGGACAAGCAAAUCCCAUAAACCGUGGCUCAGUUCAGAUCGUAGGCUGCAACUCGCCUACGUGAAGGAGGAAUCGCUAGUAAUCGCAGGUCAGCAUACUGCGGUGAAUACGUUCCCGGGCCUUGUACACACCGCCCGUCACACCAUGGAAGUUGGCCACGCCCGAAGCCGUUACUCCAACCCUUGUGGAGGAGGACGUCGAAGGUGGGGCUGAUGACUGGGGUG